This 465-nucleotide ribosomal RNA is filed under the name uncultured bacterium. RNAcentral describes it as "bacterial SSU rRNA". It matches the Rfam family "Bacterial small subunit ribosomal RNA", at positions 338 to 795 of the family's 1533-position model. The record is from RNAcentral.
CCUACGGGAUGCAGCAGUGGGGAAUAUUGCACAAUGGGCGCAAGCCUGAUGCAGCCAUGCCGCGUGUAUGAAGAAGGCCUUCGGGUUGUAAAGUACUUUCAGCGGGGAGGAAGGUGUUGAGGUUAAUAACCUCAGCAAUUGACAUUACCCGCAGAAGAAGCACCGGCUAACUCCGUGCCAGCAGCCGCGGUAAUACGGAGGGUGCAAGCGUUAAUCGGAAUUACUGGGCGUAAAGCGCACGCAGGCGGUCUGUCAAGUCGGAUGUGAAAUCCCCGGGCUCAACCUGGGAACUGCAUUCGAAACUGGCAGGCUAGAGUCUUGUAGAGGGGGGUAGAAUUCCAGGUGUAGCGGUGAAAUGCGUAGAGAUCUGGAGGAAUACCGGUGGCGAAGGCGGCCCCCUGGACAAAGACUGACGCUCAGGUGCGAAAGCGUGGGGAGCAAACAGGAUUAGAUACCCUAGUAGUC